GAAAAGAACUUUGAAAAGAGAGUUAAAUAGUACGUGAAAUUGUUGAAAGGGAAACGAUUGAAGUCAGUCGUACUGGCGAAAAAUCAACUACUCGAGUGAGUACUUGUGGGCGUACGUGAGCUUCACGGCCGCGUUGUUUGCAAUGUUCGUGCUCUUGUGGUGUACUUUUUCGUGUGGUAGGUCAAUGUCGGUUUUGAACGCCAUAAAAUGAUCGGAGGAAUGUAGCUUCGACCUCGUUGAAGUGUUAUAGCCUUUGGUAGAUGUGGUGUUUGGGAUCGAGGAUUGCAACGAAUACCCUUU
RNAcentral lists this unclassified non-coding RNA (300 nucleotides) under uncultured Basidiomycota. Its description in RNAcentral is "sequence contains 5.8S rRNA gene, ITS2". Lineage: Eukaryota; Fungi; Basidiomycota. The record is from RNAcentral.